RNAcentral lists this unclassified non-coding RNA (408 nucleotides) under Hevea brasiliensis (rubber tree). Lineage: Eukaryota; Viridiplantae; Streptophyta; Magnoliopsida; Malpighiales; Euphorbiaceae. The record is from RNAcentral.
CGGCAAAGUUCUUUGAGCAGUCUUGUGCUUUCAAAUUGUUUAAUCAGGACAGAAGUCCCCAAACACAAAUAGAUGAAGUUCCUAUCAAAGAGGAUCUAAAAAUUGAAGGAGGUGAAGGUGCCUAUGAUGAGACAUUAAUUCAUAUCCAUGAUGAUCUUGUUUCCGGAGAAGUGGAGCUAAAACGCAGAAGCUUAUCAUUGGAACCUAUAUCUCAUCCUGAUCAAAACAAAUAUCAUUCAUCUACAGAACCUUCCAAAGAUGUAAAGUUAGAACUAUCUACAGACCAAAUUUCAUCUACAUCAUUAGCAUCAGUGACUAAUGAUAAUACAAAUGCUAAAAGUACCUCCCGUUCAGUUGGUUGCUCUGAAUAUCAUCUUGCAUCUAAGACACAAAAUCUUGAGGUAAAUG